This 28-nucleotide small RNA is filed under the name Bombyx mori (domestic silkworm). Its description in RNAcentral is "ovarian small RNA-27721". Lineage: Eukaryota; Metazoa; Arthropoda; Insecta; Lepidoptera; Bombycidae. The record is from RNAcentral.
UCCUAGUGAAGACGUGUGCCACGACUGC